GGAGAGGCUGGCUUAGCUGGUUUGCCUGCCUCUCCUCCCUCUCACAGUUAGGUAAUCUACGUGGGACCAGUUGAAAAUGGACAGUGUUCAACUCCACUGAAGUGGGUGCAGAGUGCAGUCCCUCUACCUCACUCUUUACAAUCGCUUUACCCAGAGAGAGGGACGAGACCCUGACUUCUCAGUAAACAUUUCCUCCCUGAGGUUGUCACCCGCUGCCCUAUUAUCCAGGUAGCUCCAGCAGAGUCUUACAUUCCUCAAGCUGACUUAUGCGCAGAUCAAACAAUCGGCAAGACAAAGGCAAAAUUCACUAACGGCACCAGCACUCCAAGUCGACUCUUCAUGACCCCAUGGACCAGAGCACGCCAGGCACUCCUGUCUUCUCUAUUGGUAUAAUCACUUCCAAUAAAACCUUCCAAGGUGCGUCCCAAAGCUUCAGUCUUGCAGUUCAAAAAGCAAUUCAUCAAGCAGACCUAAAAUUACUCAUUUAUUCUAAGUUGGAGAUUCAGUUUCCAUGCUAGUUGUCUGCAGUACAAAAGAUCUGUUUUAAGAAUGUAAUCAACCAAAUAAGAUGGUAAUGUGGCAUAAAUGUUGGAAUAAAUUCUGCCUUAGAAGCACCUUGGUGCUAAAACAGCAA
Podarcis raffonei (Aeolian wall lizard) is the source of this 634-nucleotide long non-coding RNA. RefSeq lists it as uncharacterized. The record is from RefSeq and is a predicted model, not a curated record. NCBI's taxonomy places the organism in Eukaryota, Metazoa, Chordata, Lepidosauria, Squamata, Lacertidae. The transcript is spliced from 4 exons.